UCGCCUUCGACGGAAACUGAAGCACCUCCUCCUCACGCCACCGCCUCCUCCUCCUCCGCCAAUCUUCACAGAUCCACCGCCGCGAGAUCCAGAGGCUUCAUCGCUGAGAUGAACUCUGCUCCAUUGAUGCUCCGUCUCGCGUUCUAUAGCUCUGUAGAAUUAGUAUAUAUCAACUUUAGAACUCUGUGGUAGAUCGCACAAAUCUCAAAAUUUUAAGGAGCUUUGCACGCUGUUCAUCCAACAGGAAUUUCUGGAAGCACUGAUACUGGGAAGAAAAAGGUCCUGCUUUUGAAGGGGAAAGAGAAAAAAAUUCCUUAUGUAAGCCUUUCCUUAUAUCCGCUGCCAUCAUUCUACUGUGUUAGAUUUUGUCAUGAAUAAUGCAGUGAGAAAUAAAAUACACAUGCACCUAACAUGGUGUAAGAAUUUCAAGAAAAAGAAUUUGAAUGCCUUCUAAUUGUGCUUUGGCAAUUUUAUAAAGUGAGAUAAUAUAUGUCAAGAUUAAAAAAGAGAAACAAGCAUGUGGGUCUUUGAUACACUUUAAAUCUGUGGUUUAGGACCUAUAUAAUUUACAUGAAAUGCAAUCGCAAGUUGAAAUCUUGGAUCCAUAAGUCAUGCAUGUUAUGCAUGGUAACCUUAUGGCCCUUAUUGAAGCUGAAAAUCAGCAAGUAGUAGUGGCUGGCAGGAAGGAGAGCUGUGGAUAUCUGUGAGGAACAUGUCCUCAACUAGUUGUGUUAUGAAUUGUGAGA
Non-coding RNA from Camellia sinensis, 746 nucleotides. NCBI's taxonomy places the organism in Eukaryota, Viridiplantae, Streptophyta, Magnoliopsida, Ericales, Theaceae. The record is from RefSeq and is a predicted model, not a curated record.